This 405-nucleotide ribosomal RNA is filed under the name uncultured Hydrogenophaga sp. Its description in RNAcentral is "bacterial SSU rRNA". It matches the Rfam family "Bacterial small subunit ribosomal RNA", at positions 973 to 1382 of the family's 1533-position model. The record is from RNAcentral. Lineage: Bacteria; Pseudomonadati; Pseudomonadota; Betaproteobacteria; Burkholderiales; Comamonadaceae.
ACCCACCUUUGACAUGGCAGGAAGUUACCAGAGAUGGUUUCGUGCUCGAAAGGGAACCUGCACACAGGUGCUGCAUGGCUGUCGUCAGCUCGUGUCGUGAGAUGUUGGGUUAAGUCCCGCAACGAGCGCAACCCUUGCCAUCAGUUGCUACGAAAGGGCACUCUGAUGGGACUGCCGGUGACAAACCGGAGGAAGGUGGGGAUGACGUCAAGUCCUCAUGGCCCUUAUAGGUGGGCUACACACGUCAUACAAUGGCCGGUAACAAAGGGCAGCCAACCCGCGAGGGGGAGCCAAUCCCAUAAAGCCGGUCGUAGUCCGGAUCGCAGUCUGCAACUCGACUGCGUGAAGUCGGAAUCGCUAGUAAUCGUGGAUCAGCAUGUCACGGUGAAUACGUUCCCGGGUCCU